UAGAUAAAAUGCCAAAACAAUGUGGGUACUAAUGUGCAUAUACCUCAGGUAUUUACAAAAUUUACUUACAUAAAAUUACCUUAGAAUUUCAUAUUGAUGAACUACUGCUAUAUUUUAAAGUAAAAAUGCAUGUAAUUGAAAAAAAGAAUUAAGAGUUGGAGAUUGAGUAACCAAGUUAGAUUUUAGCCAACCUAGUCAAUCAGUACAAUAGAAAAUGACACAUUAAAAUAUACUUUAAGAACAUAUGAAGCAGGAUACUAAAUAAAUC
This 268-nucleotide long non-coding RNA is filed under the name Bos taurus (domestic cattle). RNAcentral describes it as "long non-coding RNA NONBTAT022891". The record is from RNAcentral. Lineage: Eukaryota; Metazoa; Chordata; Mammalia; Artiodactyla; Bovidae.